This is a long non-coding RNA of Amphibalanus amphitrite, 692 nucleotides long. RefSeq lists it as uncharacterized. The record is from RefSeq and is a predicted model, not a curated record. The transcript has 2 exons. Lineage: Eukaryota; Metazoa; Arthropoda; Thecostraca; Balanomorpha; Balanidae.
GGAGCGGUGGCGGCAGGAACUUUAGCUUCAAGGCGCGGUCGCCAGAUGUCAGUGGAAGCCGAGGUUACGACGAGCUGGGGGCGUCUGUGUCGCGGCGCGCCGGCCAGGGCGGCGUCCCUCUCUGCCUCCUCGGCGGGCCGCUCGGCGUCCUCUACCACCAGCUGGGCCACCUGACGGACGGCGGCGGAGAGCAGCUCGUGCUCCUCGGCCAGCUGCUGACGCGAGGUGAGACGGCGAGCCUGCUCGGCGGCGUCCAGCUCCUGACAGUGAGGGAUACGCAUGAGGGUCAGGCACAGCAGAAACCCCUGUAACCCACCAAACUCGUGACCGCAUAGUCACAGGUCACAUAAAUCUCAGAAACACCAGCGGAAGCACAGCAGCAGUGAAUUCCUGCUGGUCAGAUCACGUCGUAUGGUGAGGCCGUUUCGAAUGCAUCCAGGGACAACUGAACUGUUCCGAAGUUAUCAUUAAGUCGACAUAUCUGCUAGGUUGUGAGGCAAAUAAGUGAAUGCAGAUCGAUGGGAUGUUUUCGUUAGAUCGCGGUCACUCCCGACACAGACCAGCCGGGCAGGCAAAUAACGGCCAAACCGACAUCAAACACGCAUGUUAACAGUGUCGGUGCCCUCUGAUGAAGAAACAAGCCGCUUGUUAUUUAUGUAAAACACCAGUUAUACAGACAUGCAGAAAAAACG